UGGCGGCGCGCUUAACACAUGCAAGUCGCACGAGAAAGGGGGCAACCCUGAGUACAGUGGCGAACGGGUGAGUAACACGUGGGUAAUCUACCUCUGAGUGGGGAAUAACCCUGGGAAACCGGGGCUAAUACCGCAUAAUCUCGAGAGAGGAAAGCAGCAAUGCGCUGAGAGAGGAGCCCGCGGCCGAUUAGCUAGUUGGGAGGGUAAAAGCCUACCAAGGCAGAGAUCGGUAGCCGGCCUGAGAGGGCACACGGCCACACUGGCACUGAAACACGGGCCAGACUCCUACGGGAGGCAGCAGUGGGGAAUCUUGCACAAUGGGGGAAACCCUGAUGCAGCGACGCCGCGUGAGCGAUGAAGCCCUUCGGGGUGUAAAGCUCUUUCGUCAGGGAAGAUGAUGACGGUACCUGGAGAAGCAGCUGCGGCUAACUACGUGCCAGCAGCCGCGGUAAUACGUAGGCAGCGAGCGUUGUUCGGAGUUACUGGGCGUAAAGGGUGUGUAGGCGGUUCUUUAAGUUUGGUGUGAAAUCUCCCGGCU
Molecule: ribosomal RNA, 538 nt
Filed under: uncultured bacterium
Lineage: Bacteria
Description: bacterial SSU rRNA
Rfam family: Bacterial small subunit ribosomal RNA
Source: RNAcentral